This 253-nucleotide ribosomal RNA is filed under the name uncultured bacterium. RNAcentral describes it as "partial 16S ribosomal RNA". It matches the Rfam family "Bacterial small subunit ribosomal RNA", at positions 524 to 776 of the family's 1533-position model. The record is from RNAcentral.
UACGGGGGGGGCAAGCGUUGUUCGGAAUUACUGGGCGUAAAGGGUUCGUAGGCGGCCAACUAAGUCCGACGUGAAAUCCCCAGGCUUAACCUGGGAACUGCGUCGGAUACUGGAUGGCUUGAAUUCGGGAGAGGGAUGCAGAAUUCCAGGUGUAGCGGUGAAAUGCGUAGAUAUCUGGAGGAAUACCGGUGGCGAAGGCGGCAUCCUGGACCGACAUUGACGCUGAUGAGCGAAAGCUAGGGGAGCAAACGGG